CGAGUAAAGUGGCGGACGGGGUGCGUAACACGUGGGGAACUUCCCUUCUGGUGGGGGAUAACAAUCCGAAAGGAUUGCUAAUACCGCAUACGUCGACGAGGACCCUGGUUCUUGUCGGGAAAGAUGGCGAAAGCUGUCGCUGGAAGAUGGCCCCGCGUCCCAUCAGCUAGUUGGUGAGGUAAUGGCUCACCAAGGCAAAGACGGGUAGCUGGUCUGAGAGGAUGAUCAGCCACACUGGGACUGCGACACGGCCCAGACUCCUACGGGAGGCAGCAGUGGGGAAUAUUGGUCAAUGGGCGAAAGCCUGAACCAGCCACGCCGCGUGAGUGAUGAAGGCCUUCGGGUCGUAAAGCUCUGUGGGGAGGGACGAAAUCUUCGGUGUUAACAGCGCCGGAGUCUGACGGUACCUCCUUAGCAAGCACCGGCUAACCCUGUGCCAGCAGCCGCGGUAA
Molecule: ribosomal RNA, 452 nt
Filed under: uncultured delta proteobacterium
Lineage: Bacteria; Deltaproteobacteria
Description: bacterial SSU rRNA
Rfam family: Bacterial small subunit ribosomal RNA
Source: RNAcentral